Molecule: ribosomal RNA, 88 nt
Filed under: Nitrospiraceae bacterium
Lineage: Bacteria; Pseudomonadati; Nitrospirota; Nitrospiria; Nitrospirales; Nitrospiraceae
Description: partial 23S ribosomal RNA
Rfam family: Bacterial large subunit ribosomal RNA
Source: RNAcentral
UGGUAGACUACCAGGUCGAUAGGCUGGAGGUGUAAGCGUGGUAACACGCUCAGCCGGCCAGUACUAAUAGACCGUGAGGCUUGACCCA